CAAAAAAUAGUUUAAUAAAAAUAUUAAUUUUGGGAAUUAUUGAUACAAUUUUUUUUGUUUUUUUGA
RNAcentral lists this transfer RNA (66 nucleotides) under Gasteruption sp. M19. Its description in RNAcentral is "tRNA-Pro". Lineage: Eukaryota; Metazoa; Arthropoda; Insecta; Hymenoptera; Gasteruptiidae. The record is from RNAcentral.